UGGAUGGCGAUAGUUGGCAGGCUCCGUGCUCGUGCAUCGAACUGUCGACGCUCCAUCCGCUUCAGUGUUUCUCCAAGCGAAUCUCUUUCCUUGCGGGUGCAAACGGUAUCCUGUGUUGCUUACCAAUGAAAAGGAAUUUGAUGGUUUUUGUGUGUUGAUCGACCUUGCUCCCUUCGUGGUGCGGGGUGGACCUGAGGCGUGCUUCGUGUUCUCAGUGUGCCUUGCGCAUCGUCGCUUGGCCAUUGUGGCCCAUGGAGUAUCGGCUUGUUCUCUCGGAUGCGGAAUGUUAUGUGUGGGGGUGAGGUCUCGGCCUCAAUUCGCCCAAAGCACUGUCCCUUGACAUGAAUGACUGCCACGCCCGUCUUGAUCUUCCCGACCGAGGUCCCGUAUCUUGGACGAGGGUUGCUCAUGCGGGCGUUGGCGUCUAAAAGGAAAUGCUAC
This 441-nucleotide unclassified non-coding RNA is filed under the name Lunasia amara. RNAcentral describes it as "contains 5' external transcribed spacer, ETS". The record is from RNAcentral. Lineage: Eukaryota; Viridiplantae; Streptophyta; Magnoliopsida; Sapindales; Rutaceae.